RNAcentral lists this unclassified non-coding RNA (1400 nucleotides) under Hevea brasiliensis (rubber tree). The record is from RNAcentral. Lineage: Eukaryota; Viridiplantae; Streptophyta; Magnoliopsida; Malpighiales; Euphorbiaceae.
AAAAACUUGUAACCCCACAAAAGCUAAAAAGGGUACUGAGGUACUGAACUGAAGCUCCUCAUAUUACCCUUCAUUUCAGGCGGAUAAACCGGUGGUUUUUUCACAGAUCCAAACUUUACCUUAUCUUUUUUGAGGGUGUUGGUUAGUUUUGAGUGAUGCUGAUCUGUGUAGCCAUUUGAAUCUGUAGAUUGUUUUGCUGGUGGCAAUAUGGUUGUGUAAAGGAGAGAAUCAAGAAUUGAAAUGGAGGAAGGAUUCGAGUUUAGGCCGUGGGAUGAAUUGUUACCCGAUGCACUCGGGCUAAUAUUUAGAAACCUUUCUCUUCAAGAGGUGCUAACUGUUGUUCCAAGGGUUUGCAAGUCAUGGGGAAAAGCAGUAAAGGGUCCUUAUUGUUGGCAAGAGAUUGACAUUGAGGAAUGGAGCAAAAAUCGCUGCCCUGAAAACCUUGAUCGGAUGCUUCGUUUGCUUAUUCCAAGAAGCUGUGGUUCCCUUCGCAAACUCUGUGUCUCUGGUCUCUCAGACAAAUCGAGCUUUGAAUUCAUUGCAAACAAUGCCAAAUCUCUGCAGACAUUGCGGUUACCAAAGUGUGAAUUAAGCGACUCCGUAGUGGAACAAGUUGCAGGAACAUUUUCCAACAUUACAUUUUUGGAUGUAAGCUACUGCAUAAAAAUAGGUGCAAGAGCCCUGGAAGCCAUUGGGAAGCAUUGUAAAUAUCUGACUGGUUUGCGUCGAACUAUGCACCCACUCGAGGUUAUCGACAAGCUCUCACAAGAUGAUGAAGCCCUUGCAAUUGCUACAUCGAUGCCUAAGCUCAAACAACUGGAAAUUGCUUACAUGCUGGUUGGUACAUUGAGCAUAUCAGAGGUUCUUCAAAACUGCAGGCAGCUCGAGCUGUUAGACGUAAGGGGUUGUUGGAAUGUGAACCUUGAUGAGAACUUUGUCAAGAAAUUCAAUAAGCUAAAGGUUGUCGGACCUGUUGUCGUGGAUUGCUAUGAUAAGAAUGGCUGGGACAACUGCUCGGACUAUUCAGGUUCUUCUGGUUAUAUACCAUGGGACUUUGUGGCAGGUGACAUUGAUGAUGACUUUGACGAUGAUGAGAUGUCUGAUGACUACUGGGAAGACGAGGAACAUGUAGAGGAUGUGGAAAUGUGGUUCUACGAUGACUUAAAUGCCGUGGAUGCUGGAUAUGAUUGGCCCCAAUCUCCUUGAGGUUUGAUAUUGAACUACGUUCUAAUUCAAUUUCCAGAAGUUUUUCGUAUACUAUAUCUUGUAUCUGCUAAUGACUCUGCUUAUACUACUAUCGAAAUGAAAGUCUGCUUGCUUUCUAAGAUGUAAAUGUGAUUUCUGUGUUCAUCCUCUGGUUAUAUGUACUCCCCGGAAUCAUAAUAAAAAAUUGUCAUUGU